CUGUUAUUUAGUAAUCUGAUGCUAUUUCAAUUACAUGCUCAAACACUUUGGGAUCCCAUCACACUGACUGUAAGAAAUCCAGUUAUUGCCUCAUAUUUCUAGGAAUCUCUGGAAUGAUAAAUAUUUCCACAAAUAUAGUGAAUUGUCAUUGCCACUUCAGCUAGGCAUCUGUGUCUCAACCAUUCUGUACUAAGCAUCUAUCUCAAGACCAAAGUGUUACCCCUUUCACUAUCCCACCUGUUUUCAACCUGGGGCAAACAUUUCCCUGGCUGUACAUGAUGGCCUUCCAAGGACCAACAAGAACAGUGAUUCCGGAUUCUCAAUUUGUGUAUGAUUGCUUCCCUAAAAUUGAUCUGCCUGAGAAUAUGCCAGUGGUUUGCAGGUUCUCUUUUCUGACUGCCCCUUCCAUUUUUCCUCUUUCAUGCUUUGUUAAGGAAAGGCAUUGGUCUUGCCCAUUCUAGAUCUUUCUCUGUGCAUUGGCUUGCGGUGGAAAAGCUUCUAAGGAGCAAUCAAGGGGACGCAUUAGAGUGCUGGUGCAAGAAAAUGAAUGGUUAUCAGUGCAGUUGUAACAGAGCCUUUAGCAACUCAGGUGGUUCCAAUUCUUUGCUUGCAUUAAAGCCGAAGGAAGACUUAAAGGGGUUGUCAAUGGGGAGGUGAUGUAAAUUAAUUUAUUAGGUUUUUUGCUUUGUAUGUCACUUGUAAAGAAUUAGGGAAAAUGAAAGCCAUUACUAUAAUAAAGUUCCUUGCAUUUGCACUUACUUGUAUAUAUGAACAGUUGUCUAAAAUGCUUACAUAAAGAAUAAAGUUGAUAAAUUGUCUCUAGUAAUGGAAAAUGUUCUAUGUAUAUGUAAAGUAAUUUUAAAAAGCCACAUCCAUCUCAUUAAGAAAUGCCUUUCCUGUGAAAACAUAUGUUUUAAAUUUGAAAUUACUUAUCAAAAUCACCUACAAAUAAAAAAUUAGUAUGAUAACUUAAUUAGAAGAAACUCUUUAGCAUUUAGAUCUGUACAGCUACUGGAAAUUAAAUAAAAUGCAUUUUCAUUAAUUUACUUAUUUUUAUUGCAGAGAAUUAUAAUAGGGUGAUCAAUAAAAUACUUUCAAGCAUAAAAUUUACAUUAUGAUAAAAAUCUAUGGGGGAAAUUGAUUGGAAAUAUAAGUUCUGGGAGGAAAAGGAAUGAUGUAAAGUUUGGACUGUUAAAAUAGAGCUUGUUAAUGUUUUAAAUGGAUGAAGUAUAUGAAAUCUCAAUAUUCUGUGGAAAGUGUUUAACAAAUGAUGCAACAUUUGGAUUUCUUUUUUUUUUUUAAUGUUUGGAUUUUAAAAUGGCAAUAUUCCUAAUAUGCCACAAGUUGGUCUUUGCAGUUAUUUAAACUUGUGACGAAAAAUUUUAAAUUACCAAAUUAAAAAAUGUAUGACAAGAUACAUAGAUUUUUUUUUUUUAUUAAAUCUUUUAGAGGAUUUUCAAGCCCCAAACUGAAACAACCCUAAACCCCUGCAAAACGAAAAACAAACUCCUGGCUAUUGCCUUAAACCUUCACUGCAAGGAAGUAGCUAGUUUUAACCUGAAACUUUGAGAAUAAGAAAAUGGAUUAAUGAACAUACAGGGAAGGUAAAUAGACCUCAGAUGAACCUGGUUUGGGAGUUUGGGAGCACAAACUACUCUAUAUGGGUGCCCUAGUGGACCAGUCUUUGCCUGGCUCUGGCUUCUUUUACUAUGUACAUGUCCCUGUCCCUGAGCCCUUAUUAAAGGAGUACUCUCCCCUUCUCAUCUCAGUGAGAGUACCUUUGAACCUAAACCUUUUAAAUCUAGAACCCAGCUUCUAAAAGCACAGGGAUAUGGAAUAAUCUCCUUUUCUCAGGUGAAGCCCCAAGUUUCACCUGUGAAACUUGCCUGUCAACCAGGAUGAUAAGUGUUACUGCUCAUUUCCUUUGGAAAGCUGGAAUCCAUGCUUAUUCCCAGCUGUGAUCCUACCCUCAGGCUUCCCGUGGUAGACAGACAUCAGACCUUUUGACGCUAUCUAGAUGAUUUGUUUUAAAUAGCAUCACUUACCAGAAGUUAAAAGUCCAGAUGGGGCAACAAUCUGGCCAUUUUUUUUUUUUUUUCUGACUUGUUUCCAGUGAUGUAAAUGUUAAAUGUGAGCAUCUCUUUCUAGUCUUUUGGUGAGUGAGGGCUUGAAAGAUAAUGCACAGACCUUCCAAGAAUUGGUAAGAAACUCUAGCACAGGGAAGAUAAAUUUACCUAUUAGAAUACAAUCUGCAGAGAUAAAGCUAUGUUAAAUGGCACAUGCAAUUUACAUCACUUAAGGGAACACAGCCUGCUCAGCUGAAACAUUUUACAUUUGAUUAUUUCAAUAUCUCUUCCAAGUUCAAUGCAAGGGCUUAAAAUACAUCAGAAAAUUAAAAGGACCUUCAUGGGAUUUCUUCCCCCGACCCUUCAGAAUCAAAGGUGGCCUUUCCCAAGAAGGCUGCUCUUCUCUGCAGCUCUUAAGGGACUGCAUUGCAAACUAACCAAAGAUUAUCUUAUUUCACAGGUCAAAGUUUCCCUGCUGAUUCCACCUUUCACAUCCUCCCAAUUUAGCAAAAAGAACCCAAGGAGUUGCCUAUUAGUCUCUCUCAGGGUCAGAGUUUAUCCUCUUGAUUCCUAUAGAUUAUCCUAUAGAAUCCUAUAGUUUCUCCUAAGAACUCCAGGAACAAAAGAGGCAGAUCUGCAAUCUAUCAGCUAUGUUGCUUGGUUCCUUUGCGGCCAGGCUAUGUGGGGUUGGGUUUAUAUAAUCUUCUUUUUAAUGGGUAGAAAAUGAUACACGAAAACAUUGUCAGCAAUUCAAACUUUACAGGUGAAGUUAAAACCAAAACAAAGCAAAAAAUCAGUAAUCCCAUUUACCACUCUAGAAAUAUUACUUUUGUAUAUAUUCUUCCAGAUCCACUCUCCUCCCUAACUCAGCUUAAAAACAUAUAUGAGUGUAAAUGUCUUUCAGCAGCUUUUAAAACUCGAUGCAUUUGGAAUGCUUCCUUGUGAAUGGAGAUUUGGCUACCUCACUUUAAAAAAUUGCCUUAUAGUAUUAAUGUCUUCUAAUAGGAUAGUUUAUUUUGAAAUUCUCCUCCUGAUAGGUUCCAAUUUCUCAUAACUCUACAGCUACCUUGUACUCGAUUCUUUGUACAUACUUAAAAAGGGUUUCCCUUUUUUUUCUUCUUAGCUUGUUUGCCCUUUCCUGAUGUUAAGGAAUAUCUUUUGAGAUUUUUUUUAGAUACAAAUUCAUUGUCAUUUGUAGACCUUGGAAAAAUUUUCUCCUUCUCUGUAUCUUUUAAGGUUUUAAUGGUGUCUUCAGUCUUAGAGAAGUUAGAUUCUCGAUAUAGCCAAUUAUAUACAUUUUUUACUUUUAUUUUUGUUUUGUUGCUUUAAGACCUUUAAAAACCAACUCAUAAAAUAGUGUCAUAUAUAUGAUAUAUUAUGACUAUACAUCAUAUAAUUUAAACAUUUUAUGUUCAUAUGAAUGAUUUGUUUUUGAGAAUGUUGUGAGCUUGGACCUUAUUUUGUAUCUAAAUUGACAGCUGAUUGUGUCUGUAUUGUUUAUUGAACAGUAUGUCUUUUUCCCUACAUAACCUGAAUGCGACCUUUACCAAAUAUUAAAUCAGUUUUGUUUUUGGAUCUCUAUUGUGCUCCAUUGCUAUACUUGUCUGGCACAGCCCCAGUAAUAUGCUUGGCUAGAUAGCAGACUAUAAUUUUUUUUUUUUUUUUUGUCUUUUUGUUGUUGUUGCUAUUUCUUGGGCUGCUCCCGCGGCAUAUGGAGGUUCCCAGGCUAGGGGUUGAAUCGGAGCUAUAGCCACCAGCCUACACCAGAGCCACAGCAACUCGGGAUCCGAGCCGUGUCUGCAGCCUACACCACAGCUCACGGAAACGCCAGAUCGUUAACCCACUGAGCAAGGGCAGGAACCGAACCCGCAACCUCAUGGUUCCUAGUCGGAUUCGUUAACCACUGCACCACGACGGGAACUCCCAGACUAUAAUGUUUUGAUACCUGGUAAAGUGAGUCCCUACACUUUUAAUUCUUAGAGUAUGCAAUUAUUUUUGUUUUCUGCUCUUUGUUUUUGUCUUUUUAGGGCUGCACCCACAGCAUAUGGAGGUUCCCAGGCUAGGGGUGGAAUUGAAACUGUAGCCUCUGGCCUACACCACAGCCACAUCAAUGCAGGAUCCAAGUUGCAUCUGCGACCCACACCACAGCUCAUGGUAAUGCUGGAUCCUUACCCACUGAGUGAGGCCAGGAAUUGAACCUGCGUCCUCAUGGAUACUAAUCAAGUUCCUUUCUGCUGAGCCAUGAUGGGAACUUAAGCGCUUUGUUAUUAAAGACCUUCUUACUUAAUGGUAUUUUAAUGUUACUGCUUUUGAACUGGAAUGUUUUCUUUUUGGCUUAUCAUGUAUUUGGUCAUUCUCUUGUUCUAACUAUCAACUGGUUGUUUUGGAUUUUCUGGGUAAUUCUAUUCUUUGCAAGCAAUUAGUUUUAUAUAUUCCUUCCAAUAUUCAUCAUUUGUUUGUUUUUAUUUUAUUAUUGCUUAUUGCUAAGACUGUUAGAUAAUUUGAAUACUAGGUGUAAGAGAAGGCAUCUGUUCUAUUCCUGACUUGUAAUACUCAUAAUAUUUCAGCAUUAAGUAUAUUUGCAAGUUUAUUCUUAAGUAUCCUUCUCAAGUGAAGUUCCUGUGUGUCACUAACUUGUUCACUUAAAUAAUUGGAUUUAAGUUUUAUUAACUUCUCAGUAUAGCUGUUUAAUAUAGUCUUUUGCUCACUUAAUGAAGUAGAGUAUUUUGAUAUAUAUUUUUUCUAUUAAAACAUUCUUGCAUUCUUGGGAUAAAUAUUGUUAGGUUGUAAGAAGUAUGUGUAUUUUCCAGUCAGUGAAGUGAUGAAGUUGAUUUGUUAAUAGUUAUAUAAAUUUUUUUAUUUGCAUUCUUUAAGCAUAAUUGAACUGUAAUUUACAAUGUUGUGUUAGUUUCAGGUUACAACAAAUUGAUUUAGUUAUACAUACAUAUAUUUUUCAGUUUCUUUUCCAUUAUAGGUUAUUACAAGAUUUUAUAUAGUUCAUCAGGUCCUUGUUUGUUUAUUUUAUGUUAAUUCCAAACUCUUAAUUUAUCUACCCCUACCCCAUUAUCCCUUUGGUAACCAUAAGUAUGCUUUCUAUGUCUGUAAUUCUAUUUUUGUUUUGUAAAUAAAUUCAUUUGUAUCAAU
This 5210-nucleotide long non-coding RNA is filed under the name Sus scrofa (pig). RNAcentral's name for it is "lncRNA (ENSSSCG00000060154.1)". Lineage: Eukaryota; Metazoa; Chordata; Mammalia; Artiodactyla; Suidae. The record is from RNAcentral.